Pimephales promelas (fathead minnow) is the source of this 541-nucleotide non-coding RNA. The record is from RefSeq and is a predicted model, not a curated record. NCBI's taxonomy places the organism in Eukaryota, Metazoa, Chordata, Actinopteri, Cypriniformes, Leuciscidae.
AUUAUAUUGCAGCAGCCUUUGAAAUAUUUUGGACGCACACACAAUCAGACCUUUGUGAACAACAAUGGCCUUCUAACAUUUACUGAGCAACUGUCCGACAACAUCCCACUUCUGAAUUGUGGAAGAGACUUCAUUGCUCCUCUUUGGACUCACCUUGACAAUAGACGCGGAGGAACUAUCUCCUAUAGAGAGGACACAAGCAGUGCUGUACUGGCACAAGUCACUGCAGCUGUUAAGCAAUACUUCCCUAACAUAACGUUUAGUGCUUCAUCAGCUUUUGUUGCUACCUGGGACAAUGUGCCAUACUCUAAUGGUGGAGGGGUGGUUUCUUUCCAAACGGUUUUAGUCUCCAGUGUUCAUCGCACUUUUAUCCUGAUCAACUAUGGAAACAUUGCAGAAACCGAACAAAUUUGGCUGGCUGGUUACAACACGGCAGACUCGGUCAAUUCUUUCACAAUUCCAGUAACCAAUGCCUCAGAACUCUCAUCCAGCAGUAAUGUCAAUGUGAAUGGUCGCAGCUCUUUCCAUGUUGAUGGCUCAC